Long non-coding RNA from Lolium rigidum, 608 nucleotides. RefSeq lists it as uncharacterized. NCBI's taxonomy places the organism in Eukaryota, Viridiplantae, Streptophyta, Magnoliopsida, Poales, Poaceae. The transcript has 3 exons. The record is from RefSeq and is a predicted model, not a curated record.
CUUGAAUCUUAAUGUUGUCUUAGCUUCAUUCUUUGAACCCUCUGCGCCUAAUGAUGUUCUUUGGACUUGUGUUUGGUGGACCAGAAACUGGUGCUACCUUGUGCAUACUGCAAGGCAUUUUCGAUCUGUUUGGCCUAUGAUUUAGUGGAUACUUCGCACACAUGAUAUGCCUAAAAUGGUAUUAUCAUUUGUUCAUUGGUUGAAAGGCAAAUAGUCCCUACUUGCGAUGACUACUUACAAAAUGAUGCUGGUGCAAUGGGUUAAACCUCAUCGAACUCUCCAGAGAUGGCGCCUGAUCUGUCCAGAUACUACUACACAAGUGAUAAAUCAAUUGCAGCUGAACAUAGAAGACAAGAUGAUGGAGCGACCAAUGCUGGUGUGGACAGCAAAGUUAGUUGAUGAUGGAAGUAAGCACGUACUGGUUUCAUGUUGGUUUUGGAAGAACUAGAUGCGCAUGAUCAAGUAGUGUCAAGAUAGCAUAAGGACAAAGCAUCUGUAUUUUCUUAGGCGAUCCUUUCUUAUUUCUUAUUACCAUGUUAAAGGUGCACUACCCAAUUGAACCUCCUACUGUGCCCAUAUUUUUGUUUGGAAGGAGUUCCGAUUUUCCA